AGUGAAUGAGAUAACUUUGUUCUGUUGCAUGCGUUUACAGGUGCUGUAUAUGGUCAUUAUAUUUAUUUUGUGUGUAUCUUUAGUUCUUUUUUUUUUUUUUUGGUUUAGCUAACCUGAGAGUGGGACAGAAGUCCCUUCCACUAAAGUGAGUUGGUUAGCGCCAGGCUAACCAACUAGGCUUUAGAUCAGUUUAGUGAGAUCAGAGGCUCAUGCUUCAACUUGGAACUUGGGAUUUGGAGUUCUGAAACCCCUGUGUCCUGAGCUCAGGAUGUCAACAGGGAGCCUGCCAGGACCCUAGAAGCUCGUACUUGACAUACGCCAAUGCUGAUGACAACAACAAAGCUGUCUUUGCGUUAAAAGGUGGUAAGAAAUUAUACACACCCAGAAAUGUUUCAAACUUUAGUCCCCAGUUUGGCCUGUAUGAGUCCAGUUCAAUCAGUCUGUUCCCAUUUAAACGUCCCACUGAUUUGCCUACCAAAUGUUUUAGCCAUUAUCUCAUCCAGCCCAGCCAAAAUGAUCCCCUGUUGACACAAAGUAAUGAAUAACCUACUACCACAGAGUCACAGGAGGACUGGAGGUCAGACAGAGCGUCAUAAAGCCGGAGGGGUUUCAGCUUUAAAUACAUUACAUCAUGUUGGGAAAGGAUUUACAAAUUAGAUAUAGUCUGUCAACUGUAGCUUUCAUCAUCUCAAAAGGUGGGCGCAUUCUUGUCCUGAUUGAUCCAAACGCACCUUAAUGAGCCGAAAAUGUGACUGCGCGGCCUUGGAGUUUUACAGAUGAAUUUCAGUGAAUGUGGUGUUUGUGGAAAUUCCAAACAACCAUCGCUCUGCAGCUGUGGUGGGGUCCCGCCAAGAAAGGAUGCAGAGGAGCCAAGGUGAGGAGGUUCGGUCUCUAUUUCAGGUUCUGAGCACCACAAUUGCUCCACGCAGGGCCACACAGCGCAUGGCACCUCAGUCUCACUCCUUCUUUCACUUCCUGUGAUGCUGCUGUUUGAAGAGCGAGCCCCUCCCAUUGGGCGUGGCUCUUAAUUA
This 1031-nucleotide long non-coding RNA is filed under the name Oryzias sinensis (Chinese medaka). RNAcentral describes it as "lncRNA (ENSOSIG00000004710.1)". The record is from RNAcentral. Lineage: Eukaryota; Metazoa; Chordata; Actinopteri; Beloniformes; Adrianichthyidae.